AACCCUUCAGCAGCUAGUAUAAGAAGUCUGGACAGUAGAAAUAGAGGACAAUUUCCAAGAAGAGGGCGCUCAGGAAGUCACUGUAACACUUUUUGAUGACAUGGAAACUGAAAACAAAGUGAAACAAAAGUU
This 132-nucleotide long non-coding RNA is filed under the name Dromaius novaehollandiae (emu). Its description in RNAcentral is "lncRNA (ENSDNVG00000010966.1)". The record is from RNAcentral. Lineage: Eukaryota; Metazoa; Chordata; Aves; Casuariiformes; Dromaiidae.